ACGGGGUGCAGCAGGCGCGAAACCUCCGCAAUGUGAGAAAUCGCGACGGGGGGAUCCCAAGUGCCAUUCUUAACGGGAUGGCUUUUCAUUAGUGUAAAGAGCUUUUGGAAUAAGGGCUGGGCAAGACCGGUGCCAGCCGCCGCGGUAACACCGGCAGCUCUAGUGGUAGCAGUUUUUAUUGGGCCUAAAGCGUCCGUAGCCGGUUUAAUAAGUCUCUGGUGAAAUCCUGUAGCUUAACUGUGGGAAUUGCUGGAGAUACUAUUAGACUUGAGACCGGGAGAGGUUAGAGGUACUCCCAGGGUAGAGGUGAAAUUCUGUAAUCCUGGGAGGACCGCCUGUUGCGAAGGCGUCUAACUGGAACGGUUCUGACGGUGAGGGACGAAAGUUAGGGGCGCGAACCGGAUUAGAUACCCGGGUAGUCCUAACGUUAAACGAUGCGGACUUGGUGUCGGGGUGGGCUUUUGAGCUUGCUCCCAGUGCCGAAGGGGAAGCUGUCUAAGUCCGCCGCCCUGCGAAGUAUGGUCGCCAAGACUGAAACUUAAAGGAAUUGGCGGGGGGAGCAC
This 563-nucleotide ribosomal RNA is filed under the name uncultured archaeon. RNAcentral's name for it is "bacterial SSU rRNA". It matches the Rfam family "Archaeal small subunit ribosomal RNA", at positions 325 to 879 of the family's 1478-position model. The record is from RNAcentral.